Molecule: small nucleolar RNA, 151 nt
Filed under: Marmota marmota marmota (Alpine marmot)
Lineage: Eukaryota; Metazoa; Chordata; Mammalia; Rodentia; Sciuridae
Source: RNAcentral
AAUGCUCAAAGGAUAAAUGUUAAAAUUUUAAAAAUAAUUUUGUUCUGAACUCACAAGUAUAGGUAGUGUGCUACACGAGGGGCAAGUUUUUCACGAACACUCCAUUCUGACCCAAUGAGUGGAGUUUGAUUAUGUAAUCCUUGCUACAAGU